Molecule: ribosomal RNA, 696 nt
Filed under: halophilic archaeon
Lineage: Archaea; Methanobacteriati; Methanobacteriota; Halobacteria; Halobacteriales
Description: bacterial SSU rRNA
Rfam family: Archaeal small subunit ribosomal RNA
Source: RNAcentral
GUAACACGUGGCCAAACUACCCUCUGGACGGGAAUACCCUCGGGAAACUGAGGCUAAUACCCGAUACUACUCCUGCCCUGGAAUGGGCGGAGAGCCAAACGCCCCGGCGCCAGAGGCUGUGGCUGCGGCCGAUUAGGUAGACGGUGGGGUAACGGCCCACCGUGCCAGUAAUCGGUACGGGUUGUGAGAGCAAGAGCCCGGAGACGGUAUCUGAGACAAGAUACCGGGCCCUACGGGGCGCAGCAGGCGCGAAACCUUUACACUGCACGCCAGUGCGAUAAGGGGAUCCCCAGUGCGAGGGCAUACAGUCCUCGCUUUUCACCACCGUACGAUGGUGGUGGAACAAGAGCUGGGCAAGACCGGUGCCAGCCGCCGCGGUAAUACCGGCAGCUCGAGUGAUGGCCGUUCUUAUUGGGCCUAAAGCGUCCGUAGCCGGCCACGCAAGUUCGUCGGGAAAUCCACAUGCUCAACAUGUGGGCGUCCGGCGAAACCUGCGUGGCUUGGGACCGGACGACCCGAGGGGUACGGCCGGGGUAGGAGUGAAAUCCUGUAAUCCCGGCCGGACCACCGGUGGCGAAAGCGCCUCGGGAGGACGGAUCCGACGGUGAGGGACGAAAGCCAGGGUCACGAACCGGAUUAGAUACCCGGGUAGUCCUGGCCGUAAACGAUGCCCGUUAGGUGUGGCGUAGGCUACGA